CUAGUUAAACAAGUAAACCACUUAAUCCGUUUGUUUAACAGAGCCUACAUAAAUGGGCAAGAUCAGUGAGGCAAAUAAUUGAAUAGGGAAAAACAUUAAGCAUGUAGAAUUACAGAGAUGAAACAUCAAGCAAAGACACUAGUCGAACAGUAAAGAAGAAAAGCCAGAGUUGACCCUUUAGGCAUUUUAAAGCAUUUGCAGAAACUUAGAAAGUUGAAAUCCUAGUUUUUUUGGGAAAAACGAAAAUCGACCAACAAUUAUAAGAAAAACAACAUAAUACUAAAACAAAAGUAACAAACAAACUUGAACUAUUUUAGAUCUAAGGAGAUCUGAACAAUUUAACUAGAAAUAGUUAAGUCAUGCAAAAUAUAAACAAAGGUGAGAAAAUCUAGUUGGAACCAGAUAUUUGAAGCCAUGAACACGAAGAUAAAAGAACUUACAAACAUAGAGAUGAACAUAGGAAAGUAUAUCGAGAAAAAUGAAGAGUUGAAGCCAGCUCUGUGUUUAAUCUCUUUGAGAUCCCAUCAAACAACAAGGAAAUUGAAUAACAAUAGGGAUAUGAGGCCAGAUAUGGCCUAAAAUCAAAUGGAACCCUCAUGGAUUGAAGUAUUUCGGGAGGCUGCGGUCUAGGGUUAGGGGAGGGUUUGAGAGAGAAGAGAGAAGAGG
This 666-nucleotide long non-coding RNA is filed under the name Nicotiana benthamiana. RNAcentral's name for it is "long non-coding RNA (NBEN_LNC031743)". Lineage: Eukaryota; Viridiplantae; Streptophyta; Magnoliopsida; Solanales; Solanaceae. The record is from RNAcentral.